RNAcentral lists this ribosomal RNA (433 nucleotides) under uncultured bacterium. RNAcentral describes it as "partial 16S ribosomal RNA". It matches the Rfam family "Bacterial small subunit ribosomal RNA", at positions 29 to 507 of the family's 1533-position model. The record is from RNAcentral.
AACGAACGCUGGCGGCAGGCCUAACACAUGCAAGUCGAGCGCGCCCUUCGGGGUGAGCGGCGGACGGGUGAGUAACGCGUGGGAACGUGCCCUUUUCUACGGAAUAGCCUCGGGAAACUGAGAGUAAUACCGUAUACGCCCUUUGGGGGAAAGAUUUAUCGGAAAAGGAUCGGCCCGCGUUGGGUUAGGUAGUUGGUGGGGUAAUGGCCUACCAAGCCGACGAUCCAUAGCUGGUUUGAGAGGAUGAUCAGCCACACUGGGACUGAGACACGGCCCAGACUCCUACGGGAGGCAGCAGUGGGGAAUCUUAGACAAUGGGGGCAACCCUGAUCUAGCCAUGCCGCGUGAGUGAUGAAGGCCUUAGGGUUGUAAAGCUCUUUCAGCUGGGAAGAUAAUGACGGUACCAGCAGAAGAAGCCCCGGCUAACUCCGUG